CUACUGGUUGAUCUGCCAGUGUCAUUGCUUGUUCAAGAUUAGCCAUGCAUGUGUAAGUAUGAACAAAUUCAGAUGUGAAACUGCGAAUGGUAUUAUCAGUUAUAGUUUGUUUGUGGUAUCUUGCUACUCGGAUACGUGUAAUUCUAGGCUAAUACGUGCAACAAACCCGACUUCUGGAAGGGAUGCAUUUAUUAGAUAAAAGGUCGCGGGGCUUUGCCCGUUGCUGCGAUGAUUCUGUAAUCGACGGAUCGCACGGCCUUGUGCGGCGAGCAUAUUAAUUUCUGCCCUAUCACUUUCGAUGGUGGAUAGUGGCUCUAUGGUGGUGACGGGUGAGGAGAAUUAGGUUGAUUCCGGAGAGGGAGCUGAGAAACGGUACCAUCCAAGGAGGCAGAGGCGCGCAAUUACCCAAUCUGCACGGGGAGUAGUGAAUAAAUAACAAUACGGGCUCAUACGGUCUGGUAAUUGGAAUGAGUACAAUCUAAUCUUAACGAGGUCAUUGGAGGGCAAGUCUUGGUGCCAGCCGCGGUAUUCCAGCUCCAAUAGCGUAUAUUUAGUUGUUGCGUUAAAGUCGUAGUUGGACUUUGGGUUGGGUCGGCGGUCGCAUCAGGUGUGCACCGGUUUACUCGUCCCUUUGUCGGCGAUGCGUCUACCUUAACUGGGGGGGUCGUGCUCCGGCGUUGUUAUUUGAAGAAUUAGAGUGCUCAGCAGCUACGCUUGUAUAUUUAGCAUGGGAAAUCAUGGAUUUCCGGUCUAUUCGUUGGCUUCGGGAUCGGAGUAAUGAUUACAGGGACAGUCGGGGGCUUCGUAUUUCAUGUCAGAGGUGAAUUCUUGGAUUAUGAAGACGAACAAUGCGAAAGAUUUGCCAAGGAUGUUUUCAUUAUCAAGAAGAAGUUGGGGCUGAAGCGAUCAGAUACCGUCCUAGUCUCACCAUACGAUGCGACAGGGAUCAGCGGAUGUUGUUUUAGGAUCGCUGGCCUUAUGAGAAUCAAGUUUUUGGGUUCGGGGGGAGUAUGGUCGCAAGGCUGAACUUAAGGAUUGCGGAGGGACAGGAGUGGAGCUGCGGCUUAUUUGACUCAACGGGGAAUUACAGGUCAGCAUGUAGGAUUGAAGACUGGAGUCUUUCUUGAUU
Molecule: long non-coding RNA, 1129 nt
Filed under: Helianthus annuus (common sunflower)
Lineage: Eukaryota; Viridiplantae; Streptophyta; Magnoliopsida; Asterales; Asteraceae
Rfam family: Eukaryotic small subunit ribosomal RNA
Source: RNAcentral